UUGAUAGGGACAGUUGAGGGCAUCAGUAUUCUGAAGCGAGAGGUGAAAUUCUUGGACCUUCGGAAGACUAACAACUGCGAAAGCAUUUGCCUAGGAUGUUCUCUUUAAUCAAGAACGAAGGUUGGGGGAUCGAAGACGAUCAGAUACCGUCGUAGUCUCAACUAUAAACUAUGCCAACUAGGGAUGAGUGGAUGUUUAUAUUAUUUAUUUUUUUUUGCUUCCUUAUGAGAAAAUCAAAGUAUUUGGGGUUCCGGGGGGAGUAUGGUCGCAAGGCUGAAACUUAAAGGAAUUGACGGGAGGGCACCACCAGGAGUGGAGCCUGUGGCUUAAUUUGACUCAACACGGGAAAACUUACCAGGUCCGGACAUAGCUAGGAUUGACAGAUUGAUAGCUCU
RNAcentral lists this ribosomal RNA (395 nucleotides) under uncultured marine eukaryote. RNAcentral's name for it is "partial 18S ribosomal RNA". It matches the Rfam family "Eukaryotic small subunit ribosomal RNA", at positions 869 to 1258 of the family's 1831-position model. The record is from RNAcentral.